RNAcentral lists this transfer RNA (74 nucleotides) under Acidobacteriota bacterium. Its description in RNAcentral is "Acidobacteria bacterium tRNA-Ala". The record is from RNAcentral. Lineage: Bacteria; Pseudomonadati; Acidobacteriota.
CGACGCGUCUUACCUUUAGUGAUUCCCCGUUCGCAACGAGGAGGCCGGGGGUUCGAAUCCCCUCUCGUCCACCA